GGCUUUAUAGUCAAAAAUAUGAUAUUAGACUGCAAUUCUAAGGGUGUAGUAAUACUAAGGCUU
RNAcentral lists this transfer RNA (63 nucleotides) under Troglophilus neglectus. RNAcentral describes it as "tRNA-Cys". Lineage: Eukaryota; Metazoa; Arthropoda; Insecta; Orthoptera; Rhaphidophoridae. The record is from RNAcentral.